CCUACGGGGGGCAGCAGUGAGGAAUAUUGGUCAAUGGGCGCGAGCCUGAACCAGCCAAGUCGCGUGAGGGAAGACGGUCCUAUGGAUUGUAAACCUCUUUUGUCGGGGAGCAAAAGACGCCACGUGUGGCGUUCCGAGAGUACCCGAAGAAAAAGCAUCGGCUAACUCCGUGCCAGCAGCCGCGGUAAUACGGAGGAUGCGAGCGUUAUCCGGAUUUAUUGGGUUUAAAGGGUGCGCAGGCGGAAGAUCAAGUCAGCGGUAAAAUUGAGAGGCUCAACCUCGUCGAGCCGUUGAAACUGGUUUUU
This 305-nucleotide ribosomal RNA is filed under the name uncultured bacterium. RNAcentral's name for it is "bacterial SSU rRNA". It matches the Rfam family "Bacterial small subunit ribosomal RNA", at positions 338 to 641 of the family's 1533-position model. The record is from RNAcentral.